Long non-coding RNA from Episyrphus balteatus (marmalade hoverfly), 1542 nucleotides. RefSeq lists it as uncharacterized. Lineage: Eukaryota; Metazoa; Arthropoda; Insecta; Diptera; Syrphidae. The record is from RefSeq and is a predicted model, not a curated record. The transcript is spliced from 6 exons.
UAACAAAAUUGUUACCAAACUAGAAGCUGGCAUGACUAAGCCCAAUAAACAAACAAUCUUGCCUAUGUCAAAAAUCAAUGCUCUCUUCGUUAACCUCCCUGUGAGCAAAAUCAAAGGUCUUGGGCUUUGAUGUCUGUGAAAGACUAAAGAAGAAUCAAGAAUCUUGGAAAUUUGUUGAAUUUUUCUGAAGUUGAACUUUAAGAGGAAACUCGUCGGAAAAAAUAGAUUAUGGUUGCACUUUAUGUUCUCGCUUUUACUCGAAAAGCAUUGGUUGCUGUAAAAAAUUCAAAUUUCGGAUGGAUUUAUUCUAUUCUGCGACUUUCUUCUUUUCCAAUUAAAUUAAAUAUUCGUGGGAGCUCAUAGCGAACAGCACCUUGUUUAUUCAACCAAGUAAAUCACAUCGUCCUCUUUCCGGAACAAUGUCGUCUAGUGGAAGAUUUCUAAAAAAUAGGGAAGUUCAAAAUAUUUUCUGUAUCGAAAUGAAAAAACCGAUCCUGGAUUCAUCGACGAAAAAAUUCUACUAAUUAUAUCACAAAACCUGCACCGACUACAUUAAGCAAAUUGUUUUAUUCCUACUCUUAAAAAAAUCUUCAUCCACCAAUUCAUUCAUUAAUUGUAAAACAUUUUAUUCCCAUCGAUUAUUUUGUAGAACUGGAAGAAAAUCAUCAAGAAAUUCAAGAAAUAUCUUCUCAGCUAGAAACUAUUCGGAAGCUAAACCUAAGUUUUAUGGAAAAAUUUAUUAAAGACAAAGCUAAAUCGAGGGCCACCCAUUCGAUGAUUGAUAAUCUUGACAUCAUUAAAAUGCACAUUGUCAGUAUUUCGGAUAUGAAAAAAGAAACUCGAGAAUUAGAAAUGAUUAACAAUCAUCACUUUAAUUGCACUAACAAAACUAUUCUAAAUGAUGCAGAAACAACGUUCUCAGCAACAAAUGGAGCUUAUUCUUUAUGAAAAUACAAAAGAAAAACUCAACCGAGCCUACAAGAGACUUGAGAAUGUUAAAAUGCUUACAAAAACUGUAUCCGAUGCACUUACGAAUGCCGAACUCAUAUGGAUAACUACACAAUUGGAUUUGGAAAAAAAUCGUAACCGAUUUAGUAACUCGGAUGAAUUAAAUAUGCAAUGAAAAUGUACAAAAGCUUGUUUGUAUGAAUAUGAAAAGUUUGGAAGGCUUUUGAAAUAUGCUUUGAAUGCAUUGAUAAAUAAGAAACCUUAUACGUCUGUUUUAGAUUUAAUCAAUGAACUCAAUCGAAUUGAGAACAUCUUGAAGCCUUAUGUGUAUGAAAGUCCUGUUAAAUUGGCCAUGUUCGAACAAAUAAACUUACUCAAACCAAUUUUCAAUGCAAAAAUGAAUAAGAAACAUUUUGAAAUUGAUUUUCGGCAUUUGCGUUCUCAAUUCCAGGAGAAUAUUCAUGAAAAAAUGAGCAAUGAUGCCUUGUUGCACAAUGGUCAGUUGCUUUGGAUUUGGUUUCUAACUGAACCAAAAAAAUUACUAGAUGCCGUUGCUGAGGUUCGAAAAGCAGCUUUUAAAGUACCAGUAAUGAC